RNAcentral lists this ribosomal RNA (253 nucleotides) under uncultured bacterium. RNAcentral's name for it is "partial 16S ribosomal RNA". It matches the Rfam family "Bacterial small subunit ribosomal RNA", at positions 524 to 776 of the family's 1533-position model. The record is from RNAcentral.
UACGGGGGGGGCAAGCGUUGUUCGGAAUUACUGGGCGGAAAGGGCUCGUAGGCGGCCCACUAAGUCAGACGUGAAAUCCCUCGGCUUAACCGGGGAACUGCAUCUGAUACUGGAUGGCUUGAGUUCGAGAGAGGGAUGCGGAAUUCCAGGUGUAGCGGUGAAAUGCGUAGAUAUCUGGAGGAACACCGGUGGCGAAGGCGGCAUCCUGGACCGACACUGACGCUGAGGAGCGAAAGCCAGGGGAGCAAACGGG